GUAAGUGAAGGCAAACCUUCUGGUUUCCUACCAUCCCAGCCUCAGCUU
RNAcentral lists this microRNA precursor (48 nucleotides) under Mus pahari (shrew mouse). Its description in RNAcentral is "miRNA (MGP_PahariEiJ_G0007821.1)". Lineage: Eukaryota; Metazoa; Chordata; Mammalia; Rodentia; Muridae. The record is from RNAcentral.